Molecule: long non-coding RNA, 469 nt
Organism: Mytilus trossulus (common blue mussel)
Lineage: Eukaryota; Metazoa; Mollusca; Bivalvia; Mytilida; Mytilidae
Exons: 3
Source: RefSeq, a predicted model, not a curated record
CAGUUGCAAAAGAAUCCUGUAAAUAAAUUCAAAACUCAGCAAAAGAAGAAACAGUUUUAAACAUGGUUAAUUUAAUGAAUAAUUGGAAGGUCUCAUUGUCAUCAUUUAACAGCAGGUUAUUAGCAGCAGUUUUUCAGAAAAAUGAAGGAUAGCUGUCAAUGGUAAAUGCAGCAUCAGAAUAUUCCCCAGGAAAGUUUACUCAGAUAGUUUGGGAAAGUAUGAAUAAGAAAUUAGGGAGGGAAACAGAUAACCAGAAAACAAAGAUUUUAAAAGAAAAGAAUUGCCACUAUUAGUAAUAUGAUAUAUCUGACUGGGAGCAACAUGUACUAUUCAAUAUGGAAGGAUUGACAAUUUUGACUGAGAACAAAGUGAACUCUAAUAAUGCUAUGACUAUCAAUCAAUACUUGACUGAAUCAGAGGAGUAAACUAUUUACAUAUUUGUAAAUAUAACAGUUAUAUGUUUGCUUGA